This 253-nucleotide ribosomal RNA is filed under the name uncultured bacterium. RNAcentral describes it as "partial 16S ribosomal RNA". It matches the Rfam family "Bacterial small subunit ribosomal RNA", at positions 524 to 776 of the family's 1533-position model. The record is from RNAcentral.
UACGUAGGAUGCAAGCGUUGUCCGGAAUUAUUGGGCGUAAAGGGCGCGUAGGCGGCUUGACAAGUCAAAGGUGAAAUCCCUCGGCUCAACUGAGGAACUGCCUUUGAAACUGUCUGGCUUGAGGCCGGGAGGGGGUAGCGGAAUUCCCAGUGUAGCGGUGAAAUGCGUAGAUAUUGGGAGGAACACCAGUGGCGAAGGCGGCUACCUGGACCGGUUCUGACGCUGAUGCGCGAAAGCGUGGGUAGCAAACAGG